AGGAUGAACGCUGGCGGCGUGUCUAACACAUGCAAGUCGAACGUCCUGUCUCGCAAGAGGCAGGGAGUGGCGGACGGGUGAGUACCACGUGGGUCAUCUACCGUGAGGUGAGGAAUACCGGCGAGAAAUCGCCGACAAGACCGCAUAGCCUCGGUGCAAGCCGAGGAAAGCUCUUUCGAGAGAGGGAGCGCCACACGAGGAGCCUGCGCCCGAUUAGCUAGCUGGUGGAGUAACGGUUCACCAGGGCGACGAUCGGUAGCUGGUCUGAGAGGACGAUCAGCCACACUGGGAUUGAGAACGGCCCAGACUCCUACGGGGGGCAGCAGUGAGGAAUUUUCGUCAAGUGGGGCAACCCUGAACGAGCAACGCCGCGUGCAGGAAGAAGGUUUUCGGAUCGUAAACUGCUUUUCGUCGGGGAAGAGAACGGACGGUACCCGAGGAAUCGACGCCCCGGCUAACUACGUGCCAGCAGCCGCGGUAA
This 481-nucleotide ribosomal RNA is filed under the name uncultured bacterium. RNAcentral describes it as "SSU rRNA". It matches the Rfam family "Bacterial small subunit ribosomal RNA", at positions 26 to 523 of the family's 1533-position model. The record is from RNAcentral.